Non-coding RNA from Paramuricea clavata, 249 nucleotides. NCBI's taxonomy places the organism in Eukaryota, Metazoa, Cnidaria, Anthozoa, Malacalcyonacea, Plexauridae. The record is from the annotation of a GenBank genome assembly.
GAUAUUCGACGUCAUAAACACGAGCAAGUUUGGUGUUUAUGACGUCGAUAUUCGACGUCAUAAACACGAGCAAGUUUGGUGUUUAUGACGUCGAUAUUCGACGUCAUAAACACGAGCAAGUUUGACGAGCAAGUUUGGUGUUCAUGACGUCGAUAUUCGACGUCAUAAACACGAGCAAGUUUGGUGUUUAUGACGUCGAUAUUCGACGUCAUAAACACAGCAAGUUUGGUGUUUAUGACGUCGAUAUUC